CGUAGGUGGCAAGCGUUAUCCGGAUUUACUGGGUGUAAAGGGCGCGUAGGCGGGACUGCAAGUCAGAUGUGAAAUGUGAGGGCUUAACCCUCAAGCUGCAUUUGAAACUGUGGUUCUUGAGUAUCGGAGAGGCAGGCGGAAUUCCUAGUGUAGCGGUGAAAUGCGUAGAUAUUAGGAGGAACACCAGUGGCGAAGGCGGCCUGCUGGACGACAACUGACGCUGAGGCGCGAAAGCGUGGGGAGCAAACAGGAUUAGAUACCCUGGUAGUCCACGCUGUAAACGAUGAAUACUAGGUGUGGGGGGACUAACCCCCUCCGUGCCGCAGUUAACACAAUAAGUAUUCCACCUGGGGAGUACGGCCGCAAGGUUG
RNAcentral lists this ribosomal RNA (371 nucleotides) under uncultured organism. RNAcentral describes it as "bacterial SSU rRNA". It matches the Rfam family "Bacterial small subunit ribosomal RNA", at positions 526 to 896 of the family's 1533-position model. The record is from RNAcentral.